UGACACUUUUGUACACUUAGCAGGUACAAAGUAGAUGUAGGCAGUGUAGUUCAAAUCGUGAUCCAGAUCGUGGAAUUGCACGAUUUCACGAUGUUAGUAACCUCCACUGAUCUGGAUCAUGAUAGAAAUUGUUGGUUGCUGGGAUCGCGUGGAAUCGUUGUGGUGCAUCGCAGAAUUGUGGAAUCUUCAGGCGAGUUCGAUUCUGAUGCCAACCCAUUUUAUUGUUUUCGACCCGGUUUUCCUACUUUCAACCGCUUUGACUUGUUUUCCCCCAAAACGGCUGCGUUUUGGCAAAAACGUUGGAACCCUAAAAUUAACGCAAAAACGCUGCGUUUUAACACCAUAUAACCAAAACCCACUGCUCUCUUCUCCUCUCGCAUAACACCAUACUCUGCCUCUCCUCGUUUCUUCUCACAAACCCAUACUCUGUCGUCGCCGCUGCUCGAUGCGACUCUGUUCUUCUCCGUCGCCGCCGCUUGGAGCGACUUACAUCCUUGCCGUGGUGUUGUUUCUUUACUCUGCUCUGUGUGUGUUUCUCGUUUCUUAUCAUGGCUGGAACUGGAAGGGAAGGUUUUGUGCGUGGUGUUGGAAGGGGGUCUAGAUUCGAAGGUUAUGUGGGUGGUGUUGAAAGGGGGUUCUGCAGUGGGAAGGUGUUCUGGACCUUUUGGUGAAGGUUCUGGUACAACUGUUGGAUGAGGCUCUGGUUCAGCUACUGCUGAUAUUGCUUCUGGUUCAAGGAGGAGAGUAGUGUUGAAGCCCAGGAAUGCUCUUGGAUACCGAAGUGACCCGGUUGGAAUCAUGGCAUCUCAAUCGAUGGAAAAACUAAAAAAUUUCAAUGCAAGUAUUGUGAAAAGGUUCUGACCGGAGGAGUUUAUCAUUUGAAACAUCAUUUAGCUGGCUCAUAUAAGGAUAUUUCACCUUGCAUAUUAGUUCCUGAAGAUGAGCAAAAGGAAAUGUAGAAAAUUUUGAAAAGGGGGAUGGCCAACUUGGUUCAAAAAUCUGGUAUAUCAGGUGGUGGUGAAGAAAGAAAGGUACCAGAAGUUGAUUUACCCGUGGGUGAUCUCACAAAUUUGCUGAAGAAAAGGAGGAUCAGCACUCAAACCACCAUAAACAACAUCUUUAAGAAGGGAUUAAGUGCAUAAGUUUCUCAAAUAUAUUGCAUGCUUCUUUUAUAACAAUGCAAUACCUUUCAAUGUGGCUAGAUGUGAUGAAUACACUGAAAUGAUUGAUUCCAUUGCAAGGUACGGGCACCUUCCUACUAUGAUUUAAGAGUGAAGCUAUUGAAAGAAGAGAUCAGAUUGACAAACCUGACAUUAGAAGCACACAAAGCUGAAUGGAAGAGGACAGGUUGCACCAUAAUGACAGAUGGGUGGACCGACAAGAGGAGGAGAACGAUUAUUAACUUCUUGGUGAAUAGAUCGAAGGACAGUCUUCUUAAAGUCUAUUGAUGCAUCACAUUUCUCCAAGACAACAUAUAGAUUGUUUCAGAUGAUGGAUGACAUUGUUGAAGAUGUUGGGGAAGAAAAUGUGGUGCAAAUUGUGAUGGACAAUGCGACAAAUUACAAAGUUGUCGGGGAGGUUCUGAUGUAGAAAAUGGAAAUGUAGUAUUGGACGCUUUGUGCCACACAUUGCAUUGAUUUGAUGUUGGAGGACUUUUAGAAGAAGAUUCUAGUUCAAAGUUUAACAAUUCCACAAGGAAGAAAGAUUACUCCCUAUAUCUGUUCAAGGACCACUCUAAUCACAUUGUUGCAAUUCCAUACCCAUGGGAGAGAUUUGAUUAGACCAGGCCUCACUCGCUUUGCGACAUCAUAUUUGAACUUAGGGUGAUUUCAUGAUAAUUGGGGAGCCUUCGAAAGGAUGUUUGCAUCAGAGGAAUGACAGAAAAGAACAUAUGCAAAGACAAGGGACGGGAAGAAGAUUUGUGACAUGAUUAUGGACAAACUAUUUUGGAAGGACAUUACAACUUGUGUUAAAGGGUGCACAUCCUUUUAUGAAAGUGCUUCAUGCGGUUGAUUCUGAUACGCUAGCAAUGAGGUUGAUUUAUGAGGAAAUCGACAAGUGUAAGGAGAUGAUACAAAAAGCUUUUCAUGGUGUCAUGAAAAAUUAUGAACCUCUAUGGGCUAUUAUUGAUGCGAGGUGGGACAAGCAACUACAUAGACCUUUGCAUGCUGCAGGAUAUUAUCUUAACCCCCAAUUAUAGUAUAGUCCAGGAUUCUCAUGUUGUCUUGAAAUUAGAAAGGGACUACUAGCUGCCAUGCAAAAGAUGGUACCAAAUGGUUAUGAGCAAAGAAAGUUUGAUCUAUCGUUGGAUGCUUUUAGGAAACCAGAUGACAUGUUUGGUGCUCCUGUGGCUCAAGACACUUAUGGCUAAAACACUAAUGAAAGUUUUUUUACUACUCUACGUUUGAAUCUCUCAAGACUCAAUUGUAGUAUAGUAAAGGGUUUUGUCCUAUCCACAAGGAGGUGUAAUACUAUGUCGUUCAAUAGUUAACAGACUCAAAUGAUGGAUUUCCAAGAGUUUGGUUGUGUAUACAUGAAAGUAAAAAGGAAAUCAGAUAAAUUGAUGGAGAAACAAUAGGUAUGAGAAUUUGUUGGGAUUAGAUUUCA
Molecule: long non-coding RNA, 2607 nt
Organism: Lotus japonicus
Lineage: Eukaryota; Viridiplantae; Streptophyta; Magnoliopsida; Fabales; Fabaceae
Exons: 3
Source: RefSeq, a predicted model, not a curated record